GGCAGAGAGCGACACGUGUUGGGGGCAAAAUGGUCCAAACGGAGACGUUAAAUUGUUGGAGAGCGCGUGCAUAGGGAAUCAAGUAGAAGCGUGUACGGAUGGAAGCAAACAGCAGACUGACUUCCGUACUAUGUUAUUGCAAGUCUUUCCUUUGUACCAAAUAUUUGGUGACCCCACUUCUUCCCCAUAGCGUCUGAAGUAAGCUUCAACUUUGGCUUUCCAUUAUUGAAGUUCGGCUUUCACUAUGGACCCGAAUACCGGAUGACACAAUGUAACUACAUUCAUUUUAUAUUCAUUUUUACAUUACAUAUGCAUGUCAUUCUUUUUAGUGGUUGCACCUUAUAUUCGUGAACUAUCUGCAGAAAAAAAAUAAAAUUUUAGACUAUACUAAAUUUGUUAUACCAAAUAUGUUAUUCUUAUUAUUGUAUUAUUUGUUACGCCACUUUUCUCAUUUUGUUAGGUCUACAUUAAUGCAAGUUUAAUUCUUAUUAUGUCUCGUGUAUCAGAAAAUACAUAUUAUCUUAUUGACGUUGAUACGUCCAAUAGGUAAUCAAAUUGAUGCUAAAAUUUUAGAAUGAAUAAGUUGCUUUUGCAUAAUGGUUGUAAAGGUUUCUUGAGACUUUAUGAAUUAUUCUUCUUGCGUUUGCAAAAACAAUUGCAGAAGAUUUUUUGUAGUGGAAACGGAGUUAAAACUUGCUAUAAGUUACUUUCCUGUAUUUCAAUUUUAUCCUAAAGGGUAAUUUGCUGUUCAACCUAAUUUUAUUCCAAUUUUAUCCAACUAGUAAAUUAACUUAUGAAAAAUAGUGAAGUGGAUAAUUUAUGGAGGCAAGCCGUAAAUAGUGGGUGGUUAACUGUAAAACGCCUUUAUGUUUAUUUUAUUUCGAUAAAUAAAUUUGUUUUUGAGAAAAUGGGUACUCUUUCCUUAUAAUGCAGGAAAGCCAUAAACAGCGACUGUUUUAUUAGAAAACGGGCUUAUUUUCUUUUUUUUUUCGAAAAGAAAAUUUGUUUUUGGAAAAAUGAGUGUUAAAAUAAAUUUUCUUUUAAUCCGAUCAAUAAAUUUUAUCUAGACAUCCAUACAAAAAUUUAUUUAUCGGAUAAAAUAAAAAUAAACCUGUUUUUGAAUACAACACUAGCUCUUUAUGGCUUUCCGCCAUUAUAAGAAUAGAGUACACAUUUUUCCAUAAAAAAAAUUUAUGGAUAAAAUAAAAUUCUGCAUAAACCCAUUUUCCAAUAAAACACUACCUCUUUAUGACUUUCCUCCAUUAUAAGAACACAGUGCCCGUUUUUCUCAUAAAAAAUUUUAUUUAUCGGAUCAAAUAAAAAUAAACCCGUUUUUCAAUAAAACACUAGCUCUUUAUGACUUUUUUCCAUUAUAAGAACAGCGUACCCAUUUUUCUAUAAAUAAAACAUUUUAUUUAUCGGCUAAACUAAAAAUAAACACAUUUUUCUAUAAAAUACUAGCUCUUCCUGACUUUCCUCCAUUAUAAGAAUAGAGUACCCAUUUUUGCAUACAAAAAUUUUAUUUAUCGGAUAAAAUAAAAAUAGAUCCUUUUUGAAUAAAACACUAGCUCUUUAUGACAUUCCUCCAUUAUAAGAACAGAGUACCCAUUUUUCAUAAACUAAUUUAUUUAUUUGAUAAAAUAAAAAUAAAUCUAUUUUUCAAAAUAAGCACCAGCUACUUAUAGCUUUCCUCCAUAAAUUAUCUAUUUUCUUAAGUUAAUUUAUUAGUUGGAUAUAAUCAGAAAAAAAUUAGGUUCAACAGAAAAUUACCCUUUACGAUAAGAUUGAAAUACAGGAAAGUAACCUAUAGCAAGUUUUAACUCCAUUUCCAAUACAAAAAAUCUUCUGAAAUUCUUUUUGCAAACGCAAGACACCUAAUUCAUAAAGUCUCAAGAAACCUUUACAACCGUUAUGCAAAAGCAACUUAUUCAUUCUAAAUUUUUACCAUCAAUUUGAUUAUCUGUUGCACGUAUCCACCUGAAUAGGAUAUUAUGUAUUUUCUGGGACACGAGACAUAAUAACAAUUACACUUGUAUUAAUGUAGACCCAACAAAAUGAGAGAAAUAGCGUAACAAUUAAUACACUAAUAAGAAUAACAGAGUUGGUAUAACAAAAUUAGUAUAGUCCAGAAUUUUUUUUUCUGCAGAUAGUUCAUGAAUAUGAGAUUGAACCACU
RNAcentral lists this long non-coding RNA (2175 nucleotides) under Coffea arabica (coffee). RNAcentral describes it as "long non-coding RNA (CARA_LNC005334)". Lineage: Eukaryota; Viridiplantae; Streptophyta; Magnoliopsida; Gentianales; Rubiaceae. The record is from RNAcentral.